This 463-nucleotide ribosomal RNA is filed under the name uncultured bacterium. RNAcentral describes it as "partial 16S ribosomal RNA". It matches the Rfam family "Bacterial small subunit ribosomal RNA", at positions 30 to 507 of the family's 1533-position model. The record is from RNAcentral.
CGAACGCUGGCGGUGUGCUUAACACAUGCAAGUCGACCGGUAAGGCCCUUUCGGGGGUACACGAGUGGCGAACGGGUGAGUAACACGUGAGUAACCUGCCCUCAUCUCUGGGAUAACAGUCGGAAACGGUUGCUAAUACUGGAUAUGAGCCUGCAAGGCAUCUUGUGGGUUGGAAAGAUUUUUUGGUUGGGGAUGGACUCGCGGCCUAUCAGCUUGUUGGUGAGGUAGUGGCUCACCAAGGCUUCGACGGGUAGCCGGCCUGAGAGGGCGACCGGCCACAUUGGGACUGAGAUACGGCCCAAACUCCUACGGGAGGCAGCAGUGGGGAAUAUUGCACAAUGGACGGAAGUCUGAUGCAGCAACGCCGCGUGCGGGAUGACGGCCUUCGGGUUGUAAACCGCUUUCAAUUGUGACGAAGCUUUUUGUGACGGUAGCAGUAGAAGAAGCACCGGCUAACUACGUG